UACAGAGGGUGCGAGCGUUAAUCGGAAUUACUGGGCGUAAAGGGCGUGUAGGUGGUUGGGUAAGUUAGAUGUGAAAUCCCCGGGCUUAACCUGGGAACUGCGUUUAAAACUGCUCGACUAGAGUAUUGCAGAGGAUAGUGGAAUUUCCAGUGUAGCGGUGAAAUGCGUAGAUAUUGGAAGGAACACCAGUGGCGAAGGCGACUAUCUGGGCAAAUACUGACACUGAGACACGAGAGCAUGGGGAGCAAACAGG
RNAcentral lists this ribosomal RNA (253 nucleotides) under uncultured bacterium. RNAcentral describes it as "partial 16S ribosomal RNA". It matches the Rfam family "Bacterial small subunit ribosomal RNA", at positions 524 to 776 of the family's 1533-position model. The record is from RNAcentral.